CGCCAGACUCCUACGGGAGGCAGCAGUGGGGGAUAUUGCACAAUGGGGGAAACCCUGAUGCAGCGACGCCGCGUGAGUGAAGAAGUAUUUCGGUAUGUAAAGCUCUAUCAGCAGGGAAGAAAAUGACGGUACCUGAGUAAGAAGCCCCGGCUAACUACGUGCCAGCAGCCGCGGUAAUACGUGGGGGGCAAGCGUUAUCCGGAUUUACUGGGUGUAAAGGGAGCGUAGACGGCAGUGCAAGUCUGAAGUGAAAGCCCCGGGCUUAACCCGGGAACUGCUUUGGAAACUGUACGGCUGGAGUGCUGGAGAGGUAAGCGGAAUUCCUAGUGUAGCGGUGAAAUGCGUAGAUAUUAGGAGGAACACCAGUGGCGAAGGCGGCUUACUGGACAGUAACUGACGUUGAGGCUCGAAAGCGUGGGGAGCAAACAGAAUUAGAUACCCCGGUACC
RNAcentral lists this ribosomal RNA (448 nucleotides) under uncultured bacterium. RNAcentral describes it as "bacterial SSU rRNA". It matches the Rfam family "Bacterial small subunit ribosomal RNA", at positions 329 to 794 of the family's 1533-position model. The record is from RNAcentral.